This 72-nucleotide transfer RNA is filed under the name Rodentolepis nana. Its description in RNAcentral is "Hymenolepis nana tRNA". It matches the Rfam family "tRNA". Rfam says of the family: Transfer RNA (tRNA) molecules are approximately 80 nucleotides in length. Their secondary structure includes four short double-helical elements and three loops (D, anti-codon, and T loops). Lineage: Eukaryota; Metazoa; Platyhelminthes; Cestoda; Cyclophyllidea; Hymenolepididae. The record is from Rfam by way of RNAcentral.
CCCCUGAUGGUCUAGCGGUAAAAAUUCCUGGUUUUCACACAGGCGGCCCGGGUUCAACUCUCGGUCAUGGAG